GCCAUCAACACGGUUAGGUGUGUGUCAUAGAGACCCCGGUAUGCAGAGUGCCCUUUCGUCAUUCCGUGUGCGUGUAGAGCGAACCGUGGGUGCGCCGUCAUCGUGCUGUGGGGCGUGAUUACGUGUAUUCCUCAAGCUUGCUGCACACAAUUACUGCUAGGAGGUCGUGGAAGCCCACCCGAAAGCAGUCGAAUCUUUCAUCGGAAUCGAGCCCUCCCCGCUGGCCUGCUCGUCCGUGCAUCUCUGCGGACGCAAAGAACCACGCAGUGAGGUCACGAGAAUCUGAAGACCAAGUUGGUACCUUAGAAUCUCAAGUCUAAGGCAAGUUGUGCCCUUGAUCACUCUUAUUUACCUAAUAAUGUUCCUGUUAAUCACUGUGACAUGUUCAGGUUAAUUUGAUGGGACCUAAUAGGCUUUCCUAGCAUUGUUCAUCCCACACCUUGUUUGCCACUGAACUAUUGGGUAGUUUUGCUAUUGUUCUACCUGGUUUUGGAAAAUUAAUGUUAUAUUAUGAUCAUGUUUCAGUUAUGCUGUUGUUUUAAUUAUUGUUCAUGACAAGAUCAUUGUGUUAAUUGGAACAUAGAGCUUAACUUCCGUGCUACCACAAUGGUGGAAUGGGACUCCCUUGGCUGACUAAUUAGGAAAGCUAGUGGAGGACUACCUUACCUGGCAAGGGCGAUAGAGGAGCUGCGUAUAGGGAGGUUCUCGGGUCGAUCAUGCUGUGAUGGCUUUUCGGAUGAGGGAUUCCUAUAUUCAAGGUUUAAAAUACCUUGUGAAUUUGAUGAAACAACAAUUUAUGACAUUUAAAGAGGCACAAUGCUUGUCGGGCUCAUUGAAGCAACUUCUUUAAUAAUUUGGGAUGAGACAUUCAUGACA
Zea mays is the source of this 876-nucleotide long non-coding RNA. RefSeq lists it as uncharacterized. The record is from RefSeq and is a predicted model, not a curated record. Lineage: Eukaryota; Viridiplantae; Streptophyta; Magnoliopsida; Poales; Poaceae. The transcript has 2 exons.